GACGAACGCUAGCUGCGUGCUUAACACAUGCAAGUCGAACGGAAAGGCCCUGCUAUUGUGGGUUUCUCGAGUGGCGAACGGGUGAGUAAGAGGUGAGUAAGCUGCCCUUGACUUUGUGAUAACGUCAGGAAACUGGGGCUAAUACCGUAUAGGACCUCCUGCUGCAUGGUGGGGGUUGGAAAGUUUUGGCGGUUGGGGAUGGACUCGCGGCUUAUGAGCUUGUUGGUGGGGUUGUGGCUUACCAAGGCUUUGACGGGUAGCGUGCCUGAGAGGGGGACCGGCCCCAUUGGGACUGAGAUACGGCCCAGACUACUGCGGGAGACAGCAGUGGGGAAUAUUGCCCGAUGCGGCGAAGCAUGAUGCAGCAACGCCGCGCGCGGGAUUACGACCUUCGGGUUGUAAACCGCAUUCGCCUGUGACGAUGCGUUAGUGCCGGUACUGUAUGAAUAAGCACCGGCUAACUCCGUG
Molecule: ribosomal RNA, 468 nt
Filed under: uncultured bacterium
Lineage: Bacteria
Description: partial 16S ribosomal RNA
Rfam family: Bacterial small subunit ribosomal RNA
Source: RNAcentral